GGAUGUGAGGGCGAUCUGGCUGCGACAUCUGUCACCCCAUUGAUCGCCAGGGUUGAUUCGGCUGAUGUGGCUGGCUAGGUGGGUGUCCCCUCCCUCCCUCAACGAUCCACGUGCAUCCCUCCCAAAGCUUCACGCUCGGUUGAAGAGGACAACUACCCUCGAUAGAGGAGGACCGUUCCUCACUCAAGGGUCUACGAGUAGCUGCGCUCCCCUGCUAGAACCUCCAAACAAGCUCUCAAGGUCCAUUUGUAAGAAUUAAGACAGGACAUUUCAAAGGGAAGUAGUUCAUGCAUGACAAUUUAU
RNAcentral lists this small nuclear RNA (303 nucleotides) under Octodon degus (degu). RNAcentral describes it as "7SK RNA (ENSODEG00000024532.1)". It matches the Rfam family "7SK RNA". Rfam says of the family: 7SK was discovered as an abundant small nuclear RNA in the mid-70s but a possible function has only recently been suggested. Two independent studies have found that 7SK RNA binds the CDK9/cyclin T complex (known as elongation factor P-TEFb). P-TEFb activates transcription by phosphorylating the C-terminal domain of RNA polymerase II. Lineage: Eukaryota; Metazoa; Chordata; Mammalia; Rodentia; Octodontidae. The record is from Rfam by way of RNAcentral.